CGGGGCGUAGCGCAGCUUGGUUAGCGCGCCUGGUUUGGGACCAGGAGGUCCCGGGUUCGAAUCCCGGCGCCCCGA
This 75-nucleotide transfer RNA is filed under the name Acidimicrobiaceae bacterium. RNAcentral describes it as "tRNA-Pro". It matches the Rfam family "tRNA". From Rfam's summary of the family: Transfer RNA (tRNA) molecules are approximately 80 nucleotides in length. Their secondary structure includes four short double-helical elements and three loops (D, anti-codon, and T loops). Further hydrogen bonds mediate the characteristic L-shaped molecular structure. tRNAs have two regions of fundamental functional importance: the anti-codon, which is responsible for specific mRNA codon recognition, and the 3' end, to which the tRNAs corresponding amino acid is attached (by aminoacyl-tRNA synthetases). tRNAs cope with the degeneracy of the genetic code in two manners: having more than one tRNA (with a specific anti-codon) for a particular amino acid; and 'wobble' base-pairing, i.e. permitting non-standard base-pairing at the 3rd anti-codon position. The record is from RNAcentral. Lineage: Bacteria; Bacillati; Actinomycetota; Acidimicrobiia; Acidimicrobiales; Acidimicrobiaceae. RNAcentral also lists the same sequence under 2 other names.